UAGGGAAUCUUCGGCAAUGGACGGAAGUCUGACCGAGCAACGCCGCGUGAGUGAAGAAGGUUUUCGGAUCGUAAAGCUCUGUUGUUAGAGAAGAACGUUGGUAGGAGUGGAAAAUCUACCAAGUGACGGUAACUAACCAGAAAGGGACGGCUAACUACGUGCAAGCAGCCGCGGUAAUACGAAGGUCCCGAGCGUUGUCCGGAUUUAUUGGGCGUAAAGCGAGCGCAGGCGGUUCUUUAAGUCUGAAGUUAAAGGCAGUGGCUUAACCAUUGUACGCUUUGGAAACUGGAUGACUUGAGUGCAGAAGGGGAGAGUGUAAUUCCAUGUGUAGCGGUGAAAUGCGUAGAUAUAUGGAGGAACACCGGUGGCGAAAGCGGCUCUCUGGUCUGUAACUGACGCUGAUGCUCGAAAGCGUGGGGAGCAAACAGG
Molecule: ribosomal RNA, 429 nt
Filed under: Bacillota bacterium
Lineage: Bacteria; Bacillati; Bacillota
Description: Firmicutes bacterium partial 16S ribosomal RNA
Rfam family: Bacterial small subunit ribosomal RNA
Source: RNAcentral